GUAGGUGAACCUGCGGAAGGAUCAUUACCUAGAGUUGUAGGCUUUGCCUGCUAUCUCUUACCCAUGUCUUUUGAGUACCUUCGUUUCCUCGGCGGGUCCGCCCGCCGAUUGGACAAUUUAAACCAUUUGCAGUUGCAAUCAGCGUCUGAAAAAACUUAAUAGUUACAACUUUCAACAACGGAUCUCUUGGUUCUGGCAUCGACGAAGAACGCAGCGAAAUGCGAUAAGUAGUGUGAAUUGCAGAAUUCAGUGAAUCAUCGAAUCUUUGAACGCACAUUGCACCCCUUGGUAUUCCAUGGGGCAUGCCUGUUCGAGCGUCAUUUGUACCUUCAAGCUCUGCUUGGUGUUGGGUGUUUGUCUCGCCUCUGCGCGUAGACUCGCCUCAAAACAAUUGGCAGCCGGCGUAUUGAUUUCGGAGCGCAGUACAUCUCGCGCUUUGCACUCAUAACGACGACGUCCAAAAGUACAUUUUUACACUCUUGACCUCGGAUCAGGUAGGGAUACCCGCUGAACUUAAGCAUAUCA
RNAcentral lists this ribosomal RNA (525 nucleotides) under uncultured fungus. RNAcentral's name for it is "eukaryotic LSU rRNA". The stretch from base 167 to 320 matches the Rfam family "5.8S ribosomal RNA". Lineage: Eukaryota; Fungi. The record is from RNAcentral.